CCUACGGGAGGCAGCAGUAGGGAAUAUUGCUCAAUGGGGGAAACCCUGAAGCAGCAACGCCGCGUGGAGGAUGAAGGUUCUCGGAUUGUAAACUCCUUUUGUUAGAGAAGCUAAUGACGGAAUCUAACGAAUAAGCACCUGCUAACUCCGUGCCAGCAGCCGCGGUAAUACGGAGGGAGCAAGCGUUACUCGGGAUCACUGGGCGUAAAGAGCGUGUAGGCGGGAUAGCAAGGCAGAUGUGAAAUCCUAUGGCUUAACCAUAGGACUGCAGUUGAAACUGUUGUUCUAGAGUAUGGGAGAGGUAGGUGGAAUUCUUGGUGUAGGGGUAAAAUCCAUAGAGAUCAAGAGGAAUACUCAUUGCGAAGGCAACCUACUAGAACAUAACUGACGCUGAUGCGCGAAAGCGUGGGGAGCGAACAGGAUUAGAUACCCCUGUAGUC
This 440-nucleotide ribosomal RNA is filed under the name uncultured bacterium. RNAcentral's name for it is "partial 16S ribosomal RNA". It matches the Rfam family "Bacterial small subunit ribosomal RNA", at positions 338 to 795 of the family's 1533-position model. The record is from RNAcentral.